This 545-nucleotide ribosomal RNA is filed under the name uncultured Thiobacillus sp. Its description in RNAcentral is "bacterial SSU rRNA". It matches the Rfam family "Bacterial small subunit ribosomal RNA", at positions 382 to 918 of the family's 1533-position model. Lineage: Bacteria; Pseudomonadati; Pseudomonadota; Betaproteobacteria; Nitrosomonadales; Thiobacillaceae. The record is from RNAcentral.
CCUGAUCCAGCCAUGCCGCGUGAGUGAAGAAGGCCUUCGGGUUGUAAAGCUCUUUCGGCCGGGAAGAAAUCGCAUGGGUUAAUACCCUGUGUGGAUGACGGUACCGGAAUAAGAAGCACCGGCUUACUACGUGCCAGCAGCCGCGGUAAUACGUAGGGUGCGAGCGUUAAUCGGAAUUACUGGGCGUAAAGCGUGCGCAGGCGGUUUUGUAAGACAGGCGUGAAAUCCCCGGGCUUAACCUGGGAACUGCGUUUGUGACUGCAAGACUAGAGUACGGCAGAGGGGGNUGGAAUUCCACGUGUAGCAGUGAAAUGCGUAGAGAUGUGGAGGAACACCAAUGGCGAAGGCAGCCCCCUGGGUCGAUACUGACGCUCAUGCACGAAAGCGUGGGUAGCAAACAGGAUUAGAUACCCUGGUAGUCCACGCCCUAAACUAUGUCAACUAGGUGUUGGGUGGGUAAAACCAUUUAGUACCGUAGCUAACGCGUGAAGUUGACCGCCUGGGGAGUACGGCCGCAAGGUUAAAACUCAAAGGAAUUGACGGGG